CCGGCGUCCUGGCAUAGGGGUAGCGCGCCCUCCCCGUGAUCUGGGAGUCCUGGCUUCGAGUCCCGGUUUGGGCAUGGUUGUUCUUCCGUUCUUCUAUCUGUGAGAUGUGUGGAUGUGCCCUCCUGUGAAAAGGGGUUGUGCAAGCGAAUGAGUGAUGCGUGAGUAGCAAAGUCGUACUCUUCGCCCUAGUUGGCGCUACUAAAAAAGCAAGAGACGCUCCCCCACCGGCUUAAAUCGCUGUCUUCAUAACAGAGGGCUUGUCCAUUGCGAGUGCCAUAAGAAACAACUACAACGUAUUUAUUAUAAUUUAAUAUCUUCAGUCAAAUUGUUACUCCACAUCGAACCUUCAAAGCAUACCAGACGAUAUUUUUUGGUAAGAGCAAGCAAGAAAUACAAGUGAGGGAGCAGCCGAGAAAAAGCUGAACAUCUGCUCUUGGAGUGCAGGAUUUGGAAACAUAAAAGAGAAACCCUGAAGUUAGAUUGGAAGGUUGCUUUGAAAACUCUCCUUUUGUAUACAAGUUUUCAAAAGUUUUGAAAAAAUAUUCUUCACUGACUCUUAACUCAAGAAUUUUGGCAUGCAUGUCUAUUUAAAAUAUCUUUUUCCCAUCCAUAUUUAAAUAAUAUCUAGUAUUUUUUUAUAUACUCUUAUUUGGUCAUUCCUAUCUUAUUCUAUAAUAAAUUUCUUACUUUAAGUAGUUA
Molecule: long non-coding RNA, 699 nt
Organism: Argiope bruennichi
Lineage: Eukaryota; Metazoa; Arthropoda; Arachnida; Araneae; Araneidae
Exons: 2
Source: RefSeq, a predicted model, not a curated record